This 583-nucleotide unclassified non-coding RNA is filed under the name Hevea brasiliensis (rubber tree). The record is from RNAcentral. Lineage: Eukaryota; Viridiplantae; Streptophyta; Magnoliopsida; Malpighiales; Euphorbiaceae.
AACCAACCCAUGUCACCUGAGUCAACUCGGUCUACCGGUUCUCCUGGAAGGAAUUGGAUCUCUUCUAGUAGAAUUCAUCAAGAGGGAUCUUCUCCACUUCAUCCUUGUUCUACAUCCGAGGGUUCCUUAUCAGGUAUAGUAGGAAAUGAACUGGGUAUGGACAUGAUGAGAAUAUCACGAAUGAGUUCUGAGGAAAGGUCUGCUAACUUGGAUGAAAGGAGCAUGGAUUCAGUUGUCAACCNNNNNNNNNUCACCUCCUAGAAAGGAAGUUCCGAAUGGUGUUAGAGCUGAUGAACAUAUGACUCAGAGCCACAGUAGAAAUGCCUCAGCCUCCAGUGUUGCUAAUGCAAAUUUUUCUCAAGGAGUUCAUGCAGAUGCUAAUGAGUGUUCAGAGAUGUCAAACCAUCUUACUUCCUAUAGCAGUGAUACUUCAGGGGAGGUAAAAGCAGAGCCACAGGCUUCUACUACUUUGAACGCCCCUCACAGAGAACCUGAGUUCCCACUCCGUUUGGUUGAGACACGGUCUCGAAGUCAAACUUUCUGGCGGCGGCCGUCAGAUAGGCUUGUUCCAAGGAUAGUUUCU